This 90-nucleotide transfer RNA is filed under the name Streptococcus parasanguinis F0405. RNAcentral describes it as "tRNA-Lys". The record is from RNAcentral. Lineage: Bacteria; Bacillati; Bacillota; Bacilli; Lactobacillales; Streptococcaceae.
CCAUUUCUAGAGUAGGCAACUUUUAAAUUCUUGAUUUGAACCCCAUCGGAUUCACCAGAGAUGACAUAGGUUCCAGCCUUUGAGAUGGUC